CCUACGGGAGGCAGCAGUGGGGAAUUUUGGACAAUGGGCGAAAGCCUGAUCCAGCAAUGCCGCGUGAGUGAAGAAGGCCUUCGGGUUGUAAAGCUCUUUUGUCAGGGAGGAAACGGUGAGAGCUAAUAUCUUUUGCUAAUGACGGUACCUGAAGAAUAAGCACCGGCUAACUACGUGCCAGCAGCCGCGGUAAUACGUAGGGUGCAAGCGUUAAUCGGAAUUACUGGGCGUAAAGCGUGCGCAGGCGGUUUUGUAAGUCUGAUGUGAAAUCCCCGGGCUCAACCUGGGAAUUGCAUUGGAGACUGCAAGGCUAGAAUCUGGCAGAGGGGGGUAGAAUUCCACGUGUAGCAGUGAAAUGCGUAGAUAUGUGGAGGAACACCGAUGGCGAAGGCAGCCCCCUGGGUCAAGAUUGACGCUCAUGCACGAAAGCGUGGGGAGCAAGCAGGAUUAGAUACCCUGGUAGUCCACGCCCUAAACGAUGUCUACUAGUUGUCGGGUCUUAAUUGACUUGGUAACGCAGCUAACGCGUGAAGUAGACCGCCUGGGGAUACGGUCGCGAAGAUUAAAACGUCAAAGGAAUUGACGGNUGAGACGNGCGAGNGACGACGAGGGAGAGG
Molecule: ribosomal RNA, 617 nt
Filed under: uncultured bacterium
Lineage: Bacteria
Description: bacterial SSU rRNA
Rfam family: Bacterial small subunit ribosomal RNA
Source: RNAcentral